UCAUCGUAGGGUUAGUCGGGUCCUAAGUCGAGUCCGAAAGGGGUAGACGAUGGCAAAUAGGUUAAUAUUCCUAUACUUAUAUAGAGCGUGAUGUGGGGACGCAUAGAGUUAAUCGAGCUGGCUGAUGGAAUAGCUGGUCGAAGGACGUAGGUCGUAAUUUAGGCAAAUCCGGAUUACAUGAGACCGAGAUCUUACAGGCAGACAAAGCUCUUCGGAGGUGCGUUUGAAUCGAUGAUACUGUCGUGCCAAGAAAAGCCACUAAGCAUAUCUAUAAUAACCCGUACCGUAAACCGACACAGGUAGGUGGGAUGAGUAUUCUAAGGCGCGUGGAAGAACCCUGGUUAAGGAACUCUGCAAACUAGCACCGUAUCUUCGGUAUAAGGUGUGCCCUUAGUACGUAAGGAAACUAGCUUUCUAAGCGGAAUAGGGCGACAACAAAGAGUCCCUCCCGA
RNAcentral lists this ribosomal RNA (452 nucleotides) under uncultured Campylobacterota bacterium. Its description in RNAcentral is "bacterial LSU rRNA". It matches the Rfam family "Bacterial large subunit ribosomal RNA", at positions 1369 to 1799 of the family's 2925-position model. The record is from RNAcentral. Lineage: Bacteria; Pseudomonadati; Campylobacterota.